GCCCCAGUACGCUAUCCGGUAUCGCGGCCACUCUCAGAAAGUGGUGUUUCUGUCCGUUCGACUCGGACCUGGGGUACCA
RNAcentral lists this transfer RNA (79 nucleotides) under Geothrix sp. RNAcentral describes it as "tRNA-Leu". The record is from RNAcentral. Lineage: Bacteria; Pseudomonadati; Acidobacteriota; Holophagae; Holophagales; Holophagaceae. RNAcentral also lists the same sequence under 1 other name.